This 465-nucleotide ribosomal RNA is filed under the name Vreelandella stevensii. Its description in RNAcentral is "partial 16S ribosomal RNA". It matches the Rfam family "Bacterial small subunit ribosomal RNA", at positions 338 to 795 of the family's 1533-position model. The record is from RNAcentral. Lineage: Bacteria; Pseudomonadati; Pseudomonadota; Gammaproteobacteria; Oceanospirillales; Halomonadaceae.
CCUACGGGUGGCAGCAGUGGGGAAUAUUGGACAAUGGGCGAAAGCCUGAUCCAGCCAUGCCGCGUGUGUGAAGAAGGCCUUCGGGUUGUAAAGCACUUUCAGUGGGGAAGAAAGCCUUGGGGCUAAUACCCUCGAGGAAGGACAUCACCCACAGAAGAAGCACCGGCUAACUCCGUGCCAGCAGCCGCGGUAAUACGGAGGGUGCGAGCGUUAAUCGGAAUUACUGGGCGUAAAGCGCGCGUAGGCGGUCUGAUAAGCCGGUUGUGAAAGCCCCGGGCUCAACCUGGGAACGGCAUCCGGAACUGUCAGGCUAGAGUGCAGGAGAGGAAGGUAGAAUUCCGGGUGUAGCGGUGAAAUGCGUAGAGAUCGGGAGGAAUACCAGUGGCGAAGGCGGCCUUCUGGACUGACACUGACGCUGAGGUGCGAAAGCGUGGGUAGCAAACAGGAUUAGAUACCCUAGUAGUC